GUGAGAAGGUAAUAGUUCUUCACUGCUCCGUGUUUCUUCAUAUUGUAAAUAUUCUUCCUAAAUGUUCCUAGAUACUUGAAAAGUUAACUCAAUAUUGUUGUGGGUACAAGUGAUGUGUUGUUUUGAGUAAUUUUUAUGCACAAUUUCGGUUAUUUAGACGUAGAGCGUCGACUGUGUAAAUUGUUUGAUAGUACUUACGCAUGGUGUUUGUAUCACACAGGAGCAGAUAUCACUCGGCCAGAAAGUUGAGACCUGUGUGUGUGUGUGUUUCGUGUUUCCAACACAGGUUUCCAAUAAAUACUGAACCGACGGCAUGGUGAAGUGUCUUUUAUUUUAAAAAAUUACACAACGCAGAAGAAGACUCACUACAUAUAUACUUUUCUUAUAUAUUUUGAUGUAUAAUUAUAGUAUAUUAUAUAUACUCAUUAAGAGGGCACAGUGAACACUCAAAACAGAGUCAAAAUGUGAAAUGUUGGUCUUGUAAUUGAACUAAAAUCAACAUUAUUAAUAGAUCUACAUUCAAAGUUGUUCUGUGUGUGUGUGUGUGUGGGGGGGGGGGGGGUGUUUAGUUUUCUUACAGGAUAAUGAAGCAGUAGCAGCAGACUCAAUGUUACAAUCCAACAACCUGAAGAUAGAUCCUCAUCUUCAACAGAUGCCUCUAUCAAAGCUGCCCCCACUGAUCCUGCUGACAGGCCACACCAUUUGACUGACACACUAAGAACUGAAUUACUUAGGAGGUAAACUCAAACUUCACAUUCCCUAAAAGAGAUGAUGGACGACUUUUCCAUCACCACUACUUCCACAGACAUUUAGUGAAUGGAGAACGUGGCCUAAUGUAUUCCCCCAAUGCCAUUUUCACUACAUAUUUAGGUGUUAAGUUUCAGGGAAAUUAUUUAAAUGGUUUAUAUUUUUUCUUAAGAUUGCAUUUUUUGUCUUUACAUGUCAAUAAAGUAAUUGCUAACCGUGUAA
This is a long non-coding RNA of Nerophis lumbriciformis (worm pipefish), 969 nucleotides long. RefSeq lists it as uncharacterized. NCBI's taxonomy places the organism in Eukaryota, Metazoa, Chordata, Actinopteri, Syngnathiformes, Syngnathidae. The record is from RefSeq and is a predicted model, not a curated record.